This is a non-coding RNA of Picea glauca (white spruce), 96 nucleotides long. Lineage: Eukaryota; Viridiplantae; Streptophyta; Pinopsida; Pinales; Pinaceae. The record is from Rfam.
CCGACCUUAGCUCAGUUGGUAGAGCGGAGGACUGUAGUAGGAUGAGAAAUCCUGGUUGUCAUCCUUAGGUCGCUGGUUCGAAUCCGGCAGGUCGGA